RNAcentral lists this ribosomal RNA (472 nucleotides) under Pharyngostomum cordatum. RNAcentral's name for it is "eukaryotic LSU rRNA". The stretch from base 1 to 124 matches the Rfam family "5.8S ribosomal RNA", at positions 30 to 154 of the family's 154-position model. The record is from RNAcentral. Lineage: Eukaryota; Metazoa; Platyhelminthes; Trematoda.
GUGUCGAUGAAGAGUGCAGCCAACUGUGUGAAUUAAUGUGAACUGCGUACUGCUUUGAACAUCGACAUCUUGAACGCAUAUUGCGGCCGCGGGAUAUCCCGUGGCCACGUCUGGCCGAGGGUCGGCUUAUCAUUUAUCACGACGCUCAAAAAGUCGUGGAUUGGAAGUUGUGCCAGCUGGCGUGAUUUCCCCAUUUCAUGGGGUGCUGUGCAAUGGCUCCUUCCUAAUGUGUCCGGUUACAUCUGGCCUGGGAGUGGGUUCCCGAGGUGAGAUGUGGCGUUGGAUGUUGUACGAGUCGUGGCUCAAUGAUUUGAUCGCGCUCGUGCAUUGUUCAUGUCACGUUUUGCUUUGGUUAUCUAUUUUCUGGCAUGUGGCAAUGUAACUGAUCCCGCCUGCUUAUGCAGCCAAACCCACAAGACCAGACCCGGACACACGCUCGAGCGUGCUGGCUCGUCGCGCGUAAAGGGGUUUU